AAAGUCGUAACAAGGUUUCCGUAGGUGAACCUGCGGAAGGAUCAUUAUUGAAUGAAUGUAGAGUCGGUUGUUGCUGGCCCUUUUGGGGCAUGUGCACACCUUCUCUUUCAUCCACACACACCUGUGCACUUGUGAGAUGGAAGCCCCCUAGGGGGUGUCCAUCUGCUCUACAUAAACUCAUAAACAUAUAAAUCGAAUGUAAUUGAUGUAACACAUCUUUAAACUAAGUUUCAACAACGGAUCUCUUGGCUCUC
RNAcentral lists this unclassified non-coding RNA (254 nucleotides) under Basidiomycota sp. RNAcentral describes it as "partial contains small subunit ribosomal RNA, internal transcribed spacer 1, and 5.8S ribosomal RNA". The stretch from base 1 to 47 matches the Rfam family "Eukaryotic small subunit ribosomal RNA", at positions 1785 to 1831 of the family's 1831-position model. The record is from RNAcentral. Lineage: Eukaryota; Fungi; Basidiomycota.